AUUGAACGCUGGCGGCAGGCUUAACACAUGCAAGUCGAGCGAGCGGCGGACGGGUGAGUAAUGUCUGGGAAUCUGCCUGAUGGAGGGGGAUAACUACUGGAAACGGUCGCUAAUACCGCAUACCAUCAGAUGUGCCCAGAUCGGAUUAGCUAGUUGGUGGGGUAAUGGCUCACCUAGGCGACGAUCCGUAACUGGUCUGAGAGGAUGACCAGCCACACUGGAACGGAGACACGGUCCAGACUCCUACGGGAGGCAGCAGUGGGGAAUAUUGGACAAUGGGCGCAAGCCUGAUGCAGCCAUGCCGCGUGUGUGAAGAAGGCCUUCGGGUUGUAAAGCACUUUCAGCGGGGAGGCGUUACUCGCAGAAGAAGCACCGGCUAACUCCGUGCCAGCAGCCGCGGUAAUAC
This 406-nucleotide ribosomal RNA is filed under the name uncultured bacterium. Its description in RNAcentral is "partial 16S ribosomal RNA". It matches the Rfam family "Bacterial small subunit ribosomal RNA", at positions 30 to 526 of the family's 1533-position model. The record is from RNAcentral.